ACGCUCGACACCUACGGGAGGUAGCAGUGGGGAAUAUUGCACAAUGGGGGAAACCCUGAUGCAGCGACGCCGCGUGACUGAAGAAGUACUUCGGUAUGUAAAAGGUCUAUCAGCAGGGAAGAGAAUGACGGUACCUGACUAAGAAGCCCCGGCUAACUACGUGCCGACAGCCGCGGUAAGUCUGAGCGGGCGUGGCAAGGC
Molecule: ribosomal RNA, 201 nt
Filed under: uncultured bacterium
Lineage: Bacteria
Description: partial 16S ribosomal RNA
Rfam family: Bacterial small subunit ribosomal RNA
Source: RNAcentral